Molecule: ribosomal RNA, 507 nt
Filed under: uncultured bacterium
Lineage: Bacteria
Description: bacterial SSU rRNA
Rfam family: Bacterial small subunit ribosomal RNA
Source: RNAcentral
AAUCAACGCUGGCGGCGUGCCUAACACAUGCAAGUCGAACGCGAGAGGGGCUUCGGCCCCGAUUGAGUGGCGAACGGGUGAGUAACGCGUGGGUGACCUACCUUCGAGUGGGGGAUAACGUCCCGAAAGGGACGCUAAUACCGCAUAACAUCCUGCUUUUGAAUGGGUGGAGAUCAAAGCCGGGGAUCGCAAGACCUGGCGCUUGAUGAGGGGCCCGCGUCUGAUUAGCUAGUUGGUGAGGUAACGGCCCACCAAGGCAACGAUCAGUAUCCGGCCUGAGAGGGCGGACGGACACACUGGGACUGAGACACGGGCCCAGACUCCUACGGGAGGCAGCAGUGGGGAAUUGUUCGCAAUGGGCGCAAGCCUGACGACGCAACGCCGCGUGGAGGAUGAAGGUCUUCGGAUUGUAAACUCCUGUUGCCCGGGACGAUGGCUCCGACCUAACACGUCGGAGUGUGACGGUACCGGGUGAGGAAGCCCCGGCUAACUCUGUGCCAGCAGCCG